GAUCAACCUCGUCAAGGCUAAACUAUAAGUAAAGCUUUUCACAUCCCUGUCCUUACAAAUCUCGAGGACGAGAUUAUUUUUAAGGGGGUAGGAUUUGUAAAGCCCUAAAAUUCGUAUAAGGCAAAAAUAAUAAAAUAAUAAAAAAUACAUGUAUUUUUCAUGAAAGUGUUUUUGGAAUUAUUUAAAUUCAUUGUUGUGCAUACUCACUUAAGAGAAGUAAAGUAGACAAAUAGCAAAUAAAUAAAUAUAGAAAUAUGCAUCUCAUGCCGAGGUUCUUGUAAUUGUGCAUUUGUGUUUAAAUUCGCAAGACAAGUUUAAGUUAAAAAAUAUAGAAUUUGAAAAGGGAGGAGGAAAACAAUAUACACUAUGAAGAAAUAUAUAUAUAUAUAUAUAUAGGAAUGAAUAUAUUCUUUUAGGCUAAUACAUGUUGGCCGAAGUCCUAAUCGCAGCCAGCCCACGGGCACGUUCGUUUUUUUCUUCUUUAUUGUGUUGGCGGCAUUCUGCUUCAUCCUGACAUAUGGUAUGACAUCAGCCAUGCAUGUGGGCCCCAGCCGGCAGAUUCAUCCCCUUUCCCUGGAUCAGCUCGUACGGUACCCGUACUGAAUGCCCGUUAAUCCGGAUCUGAGCGAAACAAACUCAGCUAUGUGGCCGAGAUCGUGCCCCGCCGUUUGGGUCCUAGGGAUUCCUCAGGGCUAUAAAGAAACGCAUCAGGCAGCCUCUUCCAUCGCACCGCCAUGGACCUUCCAUCUUCUCCUCCACGGUACUUUCUCCACCCAGUACGACAGUACCCCAGGUCGACCUCCAUGGCGCGUGGCAACUCAAGCGCUGGCUCUCUCCCUCCCUUCAACACUCCAGGGCCACCGGCCCCUGCGCCUCCCUCUACUCCACACGGCCAGCAUGGCAGCCGGACGCUGAGAUCCAUGGCGAGCUCCUCGCGCCGUCUACUUUCCUCAUCGGCCGUGACUUCUCGACGCUCGUCCUCAAGCUCGGCCGUGUCGGUCGUCCCUGACCCCACCUUGGUGCAGCGCUACCAGCCGCCAUGACGUCGUCAUCUUCGUCGCCGAGCCAGACGCCGCCACUGUCCAUACCUGUCGCCAUGGUGGAUCGAAGGGUCCCGUCUUGCCCCUCUGCUCGGCUUCCUGCUCCCACGUCCGUUUCACCCGUCGGCAGAGGGCUUCGGCACUCCAAUCCUUGGUCAAGAACAGGUACCACAGGAUGAGGCGCAUGGAGGAUGCUGCGAUGUGUUCGUGAGAGGUCUAGGCUGUCGUCUCCCAGUCAACUUUGGGUUGCUGGACCGCUGUCUCCUUAUAAUGUAAUUAUUUAUUUUGUAUAGAACUUCUAUUAUGUAGUAAAGAUGUGACAUUCGAUCCUGUGCCAUGAUUCAUCAUAUGUGUGAGACUUGGUCCUAGCACACCUGGUGAUUAUGUUCGCGCCCGGGUCUUGGUGCCCCUGAAAUCCGGGUGUGACAGAAGUGGUAUCAGAGGAAUGUUGACUGUAGGACGAAACCUAGAUAGAACUAGACAACCCUUACCUACUUACCUUACUCUGAUUCUUUCCUAAGCUUAUCUUGAUCAUUUCUCAUCUAUUUCCGCUUUACUCUGAUUAUUCUUACUUUUUCUUUCUAAAGACAAAUGUGGAUUUCACACUUUGAAAUCCCAUGGCUAAAGUGACCAUUAUGUAUAGGAGACCUAAUCUUAAAGAACAAAAAAAACCAAAACUAUUUUUAUACAUAUCUAUUUGCUGCAAUGUUUGUUCUUAUGAUAAUUGUGUGAUUUGGAUCUUUGAUUGAGUGGGAUGAGUUGUGGAGUAGUGUCCACAAUUGCAUCUGCAUAUACUUAGGCAUAUAUAUAACUAAUCAAACUUAGAUUGUCCCUCAUUAAAAAUGUAUCUAGCCUAAUAGAUCCAUCUUAUCUUGAAAGACUCUAUCUUAUCUUAAUGGAUUCAUCUUAUCUUGAAGGAAUCAUCUUAUCCUAACCACUGUACUUAUCUCAUCCUAGUAUAACAACCAUGAUCUAAUCCAAAAUAAUCAGAUCUUAACUAGUUUAAUCUAGUCACACCAACCUAAUCUAGAUUCUAUCUAAUCUAUUAUGAUCUAAUCUAGAGAGAGUUAGUUAAUACUGGUACAAAAGAUAAGGCCAUACCCCUAAGCCUAAAUUGGUGACUUAGAUCAACUCGGCCAUACACAACAACUUGACCUACAUAAUAGGUUACAUAACCUAUCCCACCCAUAUGGAAUCAAACAACCAAACCAGAUUCAGACUAAUCUCAUUUAAUCUCAUAGCCAUCUACUAAACUAGCUGCUCUACCUACGUGUUAACCUCUUCUCCCAAACCCGGAAGGAGACACCAAGGCUCAAGAAGGAAAAGAUCAACCUCGUCAAGGAAGGAGAGGAAGUCAAACUCGAUCUUCCGAUGCGUUACCACUCAACACGGAAUUCUUUCCCAUCAUAAACUUGCUUACCCUAGGUUAUCCUUGCCCUAACCUACCUUUUAUCCUAUACAAUCAGGUGACUAUACAUAUAUAUACCCAUGCUUUCAUAACCACUUUUAACAUGAAACUUAUUAUUCUUAAACUAAUUAGAAGUUAAAGGCUAAACUAUAAGUAAAGCUUUUCACAUCCCUGUCCUUACAAAUCUCGAGGACGAGAUUAUUUUUAAGGGGGUAGGAUUUGUAAAGCCCUAAAAUUCGUAUAAGGCAAAAAUAAUAAAAUAAUAAAAAAUACAUGUAUUUUUCAUGAAAGUGUUUUUGGAAUUAUUUAAAUUCAUUGUUGUGCAUACUCACUUAAGAGAAGUAAAGUAGACAAAUAGCAAAUAAAUAAAUAUAGAAAUAUGCAUCUCAUGCCGAGGUUCUUGUAAUUGUGCAUUUGUGUUUAAAUUCGCAAGACAAGUUUAAGUUAAAAAAUAUAGAAUUUGAAAAGGGAGGAGGAAAACAAUAUACACUAUGAAGAAAUAUAUAUAUAUAUAUAGAAAUGAAUAUAUUUUUUUAGGCUAAUACAUGUUGGCCGAAGUCCUAAUCGCAGCCAGCCCACGGGCACGUUCGUUUUUUUUCUUCUUUAUUGUGUUGGCGGCAUUCUGCUUCAUCCUGACAUAUGGUAUGACAUCAGCCAUGCAUGUGGGCCCCAGCCGGCAGAUUCAUCCCCUUUCCCUGGAUCAGCUCGUACGGUACCCGUAUUGAAUGCCCGUUAAUCCGGAUCUGAGCGAAACAAACUCAGCUAUGUGGCCGAGAUCGUGCCCCGCCGUUUGGGUCCUAGGGAUUCCUCAGGGAUAUAAAGAAACGCAUCAGGCAGCCUCUUCCAUCGCACCGCCAUGGACCUUCCAUCUUCUCCUCCACGGUACUUUCUCCACCCAGUACGGCAGUACCCCAGGUCGACCUCCAUGGCGCGCGGCAACUCAAGCGCUGGCUCUCUCCCUCCCUUCAACACUCCAGGGCCACCGGCCCCUGCGCCUCCCUCUACUCCACACGGCCAGCAUGGCAGCCGGACGCUGAGAUCCAUGGCGAGCUCCUCGCGCCGUCUACUUUCCUCAUCGGCCGUGACUUCUCGACGCUCGUCCUCAAGCCCGGCCGUGUCGGUCGUCCCUGACCCCACCUUGGUGCAGCGCUACCAGCCGCCAUGACGUCGUCAUCUUCGUCGCCGAGCCAGACGCCGCCACUGUCCAUACCUGUCGCCAUGGUGGAUCGAAGGGUCCCGUCUUGCCCCUCUGCUCGGCUUCCUGCUCCCAUGUCCGUUUCACCCGUCGGCAGAGGGCUUCGACACUCCAAUCCUUGUGAGGUUUCGAGUCACCUGAAGUUCAUCCUGUCACCUGGAAUCUCAAGUGUCAGGCAAGUUGUGCCCUUGAUCACUUCUUUUACCCAUUCAUGUUCUUAUUAUUCAUAAUGAUCUGCAUAGGAUAAUUUUGCUGGGACCCAAUAGGUUACCCUAGAUUUUAACUAUCUUUAUACCUUGUUGAAACACUGGUUUUACUACUAAAGUUUUGGGUAGUACAUGCUAUUGCUUUAUAUGGUUUUGGGUAUAGAGGUAUUCACUACUCAUGAUUACACUUGUUAUUAUUUGUUCAUUAUUCUAUGUUCAUGAUAAGAUCAUUAUGUUAAUGGGAACAUGGAGAACCACCCGGGAAAACAGUGCUACCACAAGGGUAUAAUGGGACGCCCUUGGCUGAUUAACUAGGAAAGCUAGUGGAGGGCUACCUUACCCGAAAGGGGCAAGGGCAGUAGGGGAGUGGUCAGUGUAGGGAGGUCCUUGGUUGAUUUUGCUGCGAUGGCGGUCAGGCAAGAACCCUACACUGGAGCUUCCUAUAAACUAUAGCGGGUAGUCUGAAGCUAGUGGAACUUUGUAAAGGCCUCGUAGUGGUACCCUGCCUCGCUUCCUUGGUAGAGGUGUAUGGAGUCUGAUCAACUCCGUGGCAAAUGGGUAACACGACUUGUGGGUAAAGAUGUGCAACCUCUGCAGAGCGUAAAACUGGUAUACUAGUCGUGCUCACGGUCAUGAGCGGCUCGGACACUCACAUGAUUAAUCUAUGGAACUUAAACUUAAUCUGUCAUUUCAUUGCAUUUGGGAUUAUUUUAUUAUUACUUUUAUUUAUUAUUUAUAAGGUUUGGUAUUUACUUACACUUAGUAACUGCUAAUAAAAUUUUGACCAACUUAUAAAAGCAAUGCUCAGCUUCAGCCUUUAUUUCAUUGAUCAGCCUUACACUUCAUGAACUCCCACCUUUGGCGAGUUCAUGCACAUUAUUCCCCACAACUUGUUGAGCGAUGAACGUAUGUGAGCUCACUCUUGCUGUCUCACACCCCCCCACAGGUCAAGAACAGGUACCACAGGAUGAGGCGCAUGGAGGAUGCUGCGAUGUGUUCGUGAGAGGUCUAGGCCGUCGUCUCCCAGUCAACUUUGGGUUGCUGGACCGCUGUCUCCUUAUAAUGUAAUUAUUUAUUUUGUAUAGAACUUCUAUUAUGUAGUAAAGAUGUGGCAUUCGAUCAUGUGCCAUGAUUCAUCAUAUGUGUGAGACUUGGUCCCAGCACACCUGGUGAUUAUGUUCGCGCCCGGGUCUUGGUGCCCCUGAAAUCCGGGUGUGACAGGAUACCUUAGUAAAAAUAUCAACGUCAUCCACGAGAGUUUGCAUCUCUA
Molecule: long non-coding RNA, 5119 nt
Organism: Zea mays
Lineage: Eukaryota; Viridiplantae; Streptophyta; Magnoliopsida; Poales; Poaceae
Exons: 3
Source: RefSeq, a predicted model, not a curated record